RNAcentral lists this ribosomal RNA (427 nucleotides) under uncultured beta proteobacterium. RNAcentral's name for it is "bacterial SSU rRNA". It matches the Rfam family "Bacterial small subunit ribosomal RNA", at positions 355 to 774 of the family's 1533-position model. Lineage: Bacteria; Pseudomonadati; Pseudomonadota; Betaproteobacteria. The record is from RNAcentral.
UGGGGAAUUUUGGACAAUGGGCGAAAGCCUGAUCCAGCCAUGCCGCGUGAGUGAAGAAGGCCUUCGGGUUGUAAAGCUCUUUUAGUCGGAAAGAAAGAGUUGCAAUGAAUAAUUGUGAUUUAUGACGGUACCGACAGAAAAAGCACCGGCUAACUACGUGCCAGCAGCCGCGGUAAUACGUAGGGUGCGAGCGUUAAUCGGAAUUACUGGGCGUAAAGGGUGCGCAGGCGGUCUUGCAAGUCAGAUGUGAAAGCCCCGGGCUUAACCUGGGAAUUGCGUUUGAAACUACAAGACUAGAGUGCAGCAGAGGGGAGUGGAAUUCCAUGUGUAGCAGUGAAAUGCGUAGAGAUGUGGAAGAACACCGAUGGCGAAGGCAGCUCCCUGGGUUGACACCGACGCUCAUGCACGAAAGCGUGGGGAGCAAACA